This 240-nucleotide ribosomal RNA is filed under the name uncultured Lactobacillus sp. RNAcentral describes it as "partial 16S ribosomal RNA". It matches the Rfam family "Bacterial small subunit ribosomal RNA", at positions 122 to 354 of the family's 1533-position model. Lineage: Bacteria; Bacillati; Bacillota; Bacilli; Lactobacillales; Lactobacillaceae. The record is from RNAcentral.
UAACCUGCCCAAGAGAUCGGGAUAACACCUGGAAACAGAUGCUAAUACCGGAUAACAACAGAUGAUGCCUAUCAACUGUUUAAAGGAUGGUUCUGCUAUCACUCUUGGAUGGACCUGCGGUGCAUUAGCUAGUUGGUAGGGUAACGGCCUACCAAGGCGAUGAUGCAUAGCCGAGUUGAGAGACUGAUCGGCCACAUUGGGACUGAGACACGGCCCAAACUCCUACGGGAGGCAGCAGAA